UACGUAGGGUGCGAGCGUUAAUCGGAUUUACUGGGCGUAAAGCGUGCGCAGGCGGCCCGUUAAGACAGGUGUGAAAUCCCUGGGCUCAACCUAGGAAUUGCGCUUGUGACUGGAGGGCUCGAGUACGGCAGAGGGGGGUGGAAUUCCUGGUGUAGCAGUGAAAUGCGUAGAGAUCAGGAGGAACACCGAUGGCGAAGGCAGCCCCCUGGGCCUGUACUGACGCUCAUGCACGAAAGCGUGGGGAGCAAACAGG
This 253-nucleotide ribosomal RNA is filed under the name uncultured microorganism. RNAcentral's name for it is "partial 16S ribosomal RNA". It matches the Rfam family "Bacterial small subunit ribosomal RNA", at positions 524 to 776 of the family's 1533-position model. The record is from RNAcentral.